GUGGAAGUUUUAUGCAAUAAUCAUAAAUAGUUUCUGAGAAAGUUUUAAGCAAUAACCAUAUAUUGUUUUUGAGACACGGUGGGACAUGUGAAACCCCCAACCCUGUUUUUUUUUUUACAAAAAACUAAAUAUCAUUAAAAUAAAGUUUUGAAUCAAAACCAAAAAGUAUACAGAUCUUUAGAUUAAUAUAACAAAGAAGUGUGUAAAGUUUUAAGCAAUAAUCAUAAAUUAUUUUUGAGAUACGGCGCGACAUGUAAAAAAAACCUCCCCUGUUUAACAAAAUACUCAAUAACUCCAAAAUAAAGUUUUGAAUCAUCACCAAAAAGUAAACAGAUCUUUAGAUUAAUAUAACAAAGAAGUGUGUAAAGUUUUAAGCAAUAAUCAUAAAUUGUUUUUGAGAUACGGCACAACAUGUAAAAAAAAACCUCCCCUUUUUUUACAAAAUACUCAAUAACUCAAAAAUGAAAUUUUGAAUCAUCACCAAAAAGUAUACAGAUCUUUAGAUUAAUAUAACAAAGACAUGUGUAAAAUUUUAAGCAAUAAUCAUAAAUAGUUUUUGAGAUAUGGUGCGACAUGUAAAAAAAACCCUCCCCCUUUUUUACAAAAUACUCAAUAACUCAAAAAUAAAAUUUUGAAUCAUCACCAAAAAGUAUACAGAUAUUAAGAUUAAUAUAACUAAGAAGUGUUUAAAGUUUUAAGCCAUAAUCAAGAAUCGUUUUUGAGAUACGGUGCGACAUGUGAAAAAAAAACACACCCCUGUUUUAGUUACAAAGUGCCGUAACUCAAAAAGUUUUAAUCUUAUUUUCACCAAAAAGUAUACAGAUCAUUUGACCAUCAUAAGAAACAACUAUGUUAAGUUUCAUAAAAUUUGGAUAAGUCGUUCUCAAGUUACGGUGCAACAUGUUUACGCCGGACAGACAGACGGACGGACACCGGACAUUUGUAUACC
This 949-nucleotide long non-coding RNA is filed under the name Mytilus galloprovincialis (Mediterranean mussel). The record is from RNAcentral. Lineage: Eukaryota; Metazoa; Mollusca; Bivalvia; Mytilida; Mytilidae.